CGAAAUGAGGCAGUCCGAGAAGAAAAGAAAGCAAAGAGAGGCAAGAGCAAGAAAAGAACGUUUAGCACUCGCGGCGCAAAGAAUGUUGGAGCAGCCUCCG
RNAcentral lists this small RNA (100 nucleotides) under Gymnodinium catenatum. RNAcentral describes it as "partial Betaproteobacteria transfer-messenger RNA". The record is from RNAcentral. Lineage: Eukaryota; Dinophyceae; Gymnodiniales; Gymnodiniaceae.